AGCAGCCGCCACGGGAAAACGGAGGGGGCUAGCGUUGUUCGGAAUUACUGGGCGUAAAGCGCACGUAGGCGGCUUGGUAAGUUAGAGGUGAAAGCCCGGAGCUCAACUCCGGAAUUGCCUUUAAGACUGCCGAGCUAGUAGGUGAGAGAGGUAAGUGGAAUUCCGAGUGUAGAGGUGAAAUUCGUAGAUAUUCGGAAGAGCACCAGUGGCGAAGGCGGCUUACUGGCUCAUUCUAGACGCUGAGGUGCGAAAGCGUGGGGAGCAAACAGGAUUAGAUACCCGCGUAGUCCCUGUCUCUUAUAA
RNAcentral lists this ribosomal RNA (303 nucleotides) under uncultured bacterium. RNAcentral's name for it is "partial 16S ribosomal RNA". It matches the Rfam family "Bacterial small subunit ribosomal RNA", at positions 507 to 809 of the family's 1533-position model. The record is from RNAcentral.